UCGGGAAUUUUGGGCAAUGGGCGAAAGCCUGACCCAGCAACGCCGCGUGAGGGAUGAAGUAUUUCGGUAUGUAAACCUCGAAAGAAUGGGAAGAAUAAAUGACGGUACCAUUUAUAAGCUCCGGCUAACUAAGUGCCAGCAGCCGCGGUAAUACGUAGGGAGCAAGCGUUGUUCGGAUUUACUGGGCGUAAAGGGCGCGUAGGCGGCGCGGUAAGUCACUUGUGAAAUCUCUGAGCUUAACUCAGAACGGCCAAGUGAUACUGCUGUGCUAGAGUGCGGAAGAGGCAACCGGAAUUCUUGGUGUAGCGGUGAAAUGCGUAGAUAUGAAGAGGAACACCUGAGGCGAAUGCGGGCUGCUGGGCCGACACUGACGCUGAUGCGCGAAAGCCAGGGGAGCAAACG
RNAcentral lists this ribosomal RNA (402 nucleotides) under uncultured bacterium. Its description in RNAcentral is "bacterial SSU rRNA". It matches the Rfam family "Bacterial small subunit ribosomal RNA", at positions 355 to 774 of the family's 1533-position model. The record is from RNAcentral.